This 528-nucleotide long non-coding RNA is filed under the name Ananas comosus (pineapple). RNAcentral's name for it is "long non-coding RNA (ACOM_LNC011660)". Lineage: Eukaryota; Viridiplantae; Streptophyta; Magnoliopsida; Poales; Bromeliaceae. The record is from RNAcentral.
ACCUUGAUAAUUUAUUGUAGGGGCAAUUGUUUAUAUAUCUCUGAAAAGUUUUCGACUUUCUGAUUUACUGCUCUUAAAAAGCUAAUAUUGAAAAUAUCUUUUUUACGUUCUAACGUACUCUGUUAUCUGUAUAAAAUUAUUAUUCUGCCCUUUCAAUUAUACCAUUCUACCAUCACCGUCUUUUUUAUUUGCCCUUAAGUGAAAGGCACAAAAAGUAUUUUGACUUUUGGGUCUUUUCAAAUAUACCUCUCUACCGUCAUCAACAUUUUUUAUUUGCCCUUAAAUUAAUGCCAAAAUUAGUAUUUUAAUUUUUUUUAAAUUUGGUAGAUAUUUAACUUACGUUUAACUCAAGUUAACUUAACGGAUGAUAACUGUAGGAAUAUUUUGGAAUAACGAAGAAACAUAUAAGGAAUAUAUUGAAAAGAAAAAAAAGAAAUAAAUAAAAUAUUUUCAAAUUUUUGAAAGGUAUAUAAGCAAUUAUCCCUUUAUUGUAUUAUUGGUUCCUAACCUUCCCCAUUUAUUCCCCUU